Pogona vitticeps (central bearded dragon) is the source of this 3046-nucleotide non-coding RNA. Lineage: Eukaryota; Metazoa; Chordata; Lepidosauria; Squamata; Agamidae. The record is from RefSeq and is a predicted model, not a curated record.
AGAGGCAGGAUGCGAGGGCGGCCACAGGCGGCGUGGGAGAAGGAUGACGGUGGCAGUGUAGCGUCUCAGGAUGCCUUCCUCCACCACCACAGUUGUGGGUGCCAUGGCUGGCGAACGGAGCUCCUGGGCCAGCCUGACGACGCUGCAGAAGGUGGCUCUUGGCCUGGGGAUCCCUGCCAGUGGCGCCAUUCUUUACAUCCUCUACCGCCGCUACCGGGAAAGUCAAGAAGAACGCCUGACGUUUGUGGGGGAAGAGGAGAUCGAAGUGGAGAUGAAGGUCCCGAAGGAGGCUGUCAAAAUUCUCAUCGGAAAGCAUGGAGCCCAGAUCAAGAAGUUGAGGAGAGACACCCAUGCCCGCAUUGAUGUUGACGUGCAGGAGUCUGCUGAAGAGCGGCUGGUCAGGAUCUGUGGUUCCCCCAUUGAGGUGUGCAAGGCAAAAGCUGCCAUCCACCAAAUCUUGGCAGAGAGUUUGCCUGUGGUGGAGAAGAUCCAGGUGCCCCAGCGUGCUGUUGGCCGUAUCAUUGGCAGGGGUGGAGAGACAGUGCGGUCCAUCUGCCGGAGCACUGGGGCCAAGGUGGAAUGUGAACGGGAAACGGAAGCGGCUCUUUCCCUCACUCGUCUCAUCACGCUCUCUGGGACGCUGAAAGAGGUGCAGGCUGCCAAGCACCUGAUCACAGAGAAGCUCUCGGAAGAGGAAGAGUUUCAGAAGAAGCUGUCUGAGUCGGUGCAUGCCCGCUUUCUACGCAAGCAGCCACUCGGCAUGCGAAAGGAGGAAGAAGCCGCUGGGGACCAGCGAGGGCUGCCUUCCCUUGGCAGAGAACCUUCUGAGCAGCCCCCCAGGCCCUCGGGUCCGCCAGGGGCUGGAGAAAGGAUCCCGGAACAUCCCCCAGGUGAACCACACUCCCUAAGAAGCGAAGAAGGAUCCCCCGAAGACUCUGUGUCUGCAGCUUCUUGUCCAAGCUCUGCGUUUGAAGUCCCCAGCCCUGAUUUCAGCUUCCAUGCCAAUGAGUAUUUGGAGGUCUACAUCUCAGCCGCUGAGAACCCCAACCACUUCUGGAUUCAGAUCAUCGGCUCGCGGGUUCUGCAGCUGGACAAACUCACCCGCGAAAUGACCCAGUUCUACGAGAGUGACAGCAGCUGCCCUUCUCAACUCCUGGACGUGCAUGUGGGAGAUAUAGUGGCUGCCCACUACCCAGACGAUCUCUCCUGGUACAGAGCCAGAGUCCUCGGUGCCCUGGAAAAUGGGAACCUGGAUCUUUACUAUGUGGAUUUUGGUGACAACGGGGAGGCUCCCUUGGAGAACCUGCGGCCACUACGGAGCGACUUCCUGAGCCUCCCUUUCCAAGCCAUUGAGUGCAGCCUCGCCAGCAUUGCUCCAGCAGGAGAGCAGUGGGACGAAGCGGCCCUCGAUGCAUUCGACCGCCUCACCCAUUGUGCGGAGUGGAAGCCAGUGGUGGCCAAGAUCUCCAGCUACGUGCCUUCUGGAAGCACCACUUGGCCCCACGUGCGAUUGUACAACGUCACGGAUGGGCAGAAUGUCGAUGUGGGCGAAGAGCUGGUGCGCUUGGGCCAUGCAGUGCGGUGCCCACAGGAUGGAGAUGGUGCCAUGGGAGACGGACUCCACCGCUGGGACAAAGAGGCGGCUUCCGGUGUCCCCCCCAAAACCCUGGAGAACACGACGGGGAUGUCCCUAGAGAGUCUUCCCUUUGAUACCCAGAAAACUCCAGAUGAGAUGGCCCACACCCUCUCAUGCAUCAGCCUUUCAGAAGUUGCCUCCAUGUCUGAGAGUGGUGACGCCUUCCUGUUGGAAGAAGAUUCCUUGAAUGAAGUGAAUUCGAAAUCAUGAGCAUGUGCCUGAAAUACAGUAGACCUGCAGUGGGGAGAGGGAGCAAAUUCUUCAGCUUGGCUCACUGAAGAACACAAGAGUAUCUUGAUUUCUGCGCUGAGGAUUGGGGGGGGUGCCAUGGCGACAGCGGAGCUUGUGGGGAGGGUAGUGUCCUACCAUCAGCCACCAUUCCUUUCCAAGUGACACCAGUUGGACUUCACCCUCUAUUGCUCCCAGAAGGAUCUUUUCCCAAGUUGGACCCACACAUGCUGCCGUCCUAUGUUGUGUUUGGGGGUGUGGGGGGUAACAUGAGGCAGCAAUGAGUCUUUUUGGGAUGAAGAUCCAUUAAAGUGCCUGAGUGUGGGCUGAUUUUCUGCUUCCUCUUGAGGUGGGCACCCCUGUUAGCCCUGAAGGAGCUGGAAUGUAAACAUGAUAGCUUAAGGAUGUGUUGCCUCUCUGCCCGGGUGUCGGAAAGCUUAGAGGAUGAUGGAUCAACUUCCCUUUCCCUGUUUUAACAAAGAGAACCCCAUGACGUUGCUUUCUGCUUUGCCAAACUCAGUUGCCCUACAGAUGUUCUAAGGUGGGAGGUGACCAGCUGUAAUAACUUGGGUACGUUAACGUGGUAAUGGCCAAUUUCUACAUGAAGAAAAGUCACACACUGUAGCUUUACAUAGGCUGUACCCUGUCAGAUGGUAAAUGGAGGGAAUUAUAUGAUAUGAAUAACCCCCUGCCUAAUUUGGUCAACUUAAUUAUUUUCUAGGGACCGGGGUUGAGGCCUACCCAUUCUCCUCAGUGGGUUGAUUGUGAUGGUGGAGAGGUGUUUUUUUUUUAAAUACAGGGGCCCAUUCAGGUAUGUUGCCCUCCACCUGCAGACGCAAACAGCCCAGUCCAAUCACCCUGCACAAACCUGCAUGGCUUCAUGACUCCAUACAGGGGCUGGAGGUUGUGAGAAGCAGGAAUGGCACCUCCUCUCAAGGGAGCUGCUGUGCUAUGUUCCUUUCCGUGAAGGGUGCUGUUAGUUGUAUCCUGGUUAGAGCAGGACGUCGUUCUAUCCCUUCCAGUUUGGGGGAUCUGGUGGCAGGUAGUAUGUGAAGCGAGAAGAGGUUUCGCUGUGCUCACCCUCUUGUCUGGCCAGAGCCAUAUGUUGAAUGUAUGACUGAAGUUCCGUUUGUACAUUUUGUACUGUUUUGGUUUUCUUCUGAAUAAAGGCUUGUGUUUGAA